GAUCAUUGUAACUUCCAUCAGCUGUUCUGUACGGAUAAUCUCCUGGGCUAAACCGAACACCGGAUGGAGUUUCCCCGACAUUGAUGAGAUUGUAUUGCUGGUGAAGAUGGCGACGUACAGCCAGAUAUAUUAAACCUAAGACAACAGGUAACCGGUGCCAUAUCCCCAAUCUAUCCACCGAAUGAACCAUCUGAUUAACCAAAAAUAAUUGUUAAGCUUAAUAGCAGCCGGAAACAUGAUGUUAUGACUUAAAAAAGGUUCAUAGGAGAAAAAUGAGUUAUCUUACGAGGAAGAGAAAAGCAUCAAUUAUGGUCAUGGAAGAAACAGCUUCAUGGAAAUCUUGAUGGAUGAAACGACGUAGUAUGUUGUUGAAAAGAGCCUUCGUAAUAAAUGCCAUUGUUUUUCGAGAGAACCUGGGUUUUCUUUUCUUUUUUUUUGGGUGGGGUGGGGGGUGGUAAAGAUAUUCUUUGUAAUAACCAUGGUCAUGCAUAUGUCUGUAUUUAUAGAAGAAAUUAUGAGAAAAGUAGCGCCGGCAAUGACGUGAAAACCAUUGGAUAAUUGCGUGAGCAAAAUGCCUUUCUCCCCUCAACUCAUAGCUUACUGUUCUACAUAUGAGAAUGAGGUUGAAUAGUAUUGCUUAUUAAUUCCAAACUUGGAUAGAAUAUGAUAAUAUUGGAGUAAAAGGUACAUUUAUGGACGAAAGUCGAAAAGAGACAUCCAUAUGUGGCCACAUUUAUUGUGGUUUAGACUUUGUCCGAGGCCAAUAACUUGUGAUGAAAUAAUACCUCGUAUCUCCUUUUAUUAUUAAAUAGAUUAAUUUAAUUUUUGAAUGAGUUCAAAUUUUAAGGGUUAAUUUUACUAAUACUUGAUUGAUAUUAUUUAAUUAUUUAAUAAUAUAUAAAUUUUAUUAAUUUAUUGUGGUUUAGGGUACCUCGAGUAUAGAAAAAGAACACUGUUAUUAUUAUUAUUAUCCAUUUUGUACGGAAUUAAGGAGACAACGAAAAAACAUACUUUGCUUUUGAUGUCGCCCACAUGUUUUUUCCUUUAGAAAAUAAAUUAUUUUAUGCAUGAGACAAUCAACUACGAAGUGAUUUCUACGUGCGUGUGGUAAGGCGGCCGUCCACACAUUUGAAGGAGAUUUAAACAAAUCUAUUUAUCUUCUUAUUGUUUUUUUUUUCUUAAUAUAAAUUUGAGAUUAGAGUUUAAUCUGAAAUUUAAACGAAUUUAGACAAAAAUAUUAUGCUCGAAAAAUGAGUUUGAGAAAAAAUUUAGAUUCGUUUAAAUUAUGGGUUGAGCUUAGAUUUGAACAUUUAAGGCCUAUAUCUGACCUAUUUUUAAGUUUAUAAUAUUUUAUAUUAUGUUAUUUUUAUAUAUAAUGUAAUUUAUAACACAUUAAAAAAAUAAAACUUAUAUACAGAAUAUGUAAUACUAGUCUAAUAUAAAUAUUAAAAUAAUGUUAGGAUGGCUAUAUAAAAAAUUUAAUAAAUAGAAAAAUAUAAAAAAUUAUUAAAUAUUAAAUUAAAAUAAUAUAAAUAUUUUUAAAAAAGUAAUAUGGACAUGUUUAAAAUGAGAUUAGGUUAAUCUGUUGCAAAUAUGAGUAAAUUUAAAGAAAAAUUUAUGCUCAUAUUUUAGACUGAACUGAAUUUUACCAAACAUAAAAUGUUAAUAUCAUAUUUAAGCAUCUCUAGAUUUGAGUAAUACCUAUUUAAAUAUAUAGUCGACCAUCAAUUCUAAUUAUAUAUUCUUACCACCAAGGUGUACGGAUGUUGUUUGUGCCAGUUUUGACGUCACAGAAACCAGUUGGAAAUUCCUUUGUUGGAUGAAACUUGAAAGAAGUGAGAAGACAUUUGUUUGCAACUUCUUUAGGUGCAAUCAGUUCAACCUGCAAUUUUUGUUCAACCACCAAUGAUAACUAUAUCUCCAUUAACAUUGGCUUCAACAUUGUUCUUGUAUCGGAUAUUUAUGUUGUAUGCAUAUAUAUAUAAAUACAUAAAUAAAUAUAUAAUUAAGGUUUAACCUGUUGGUUGGUGGUCUCCAUGUGAUCGAUCCAAUCGUGGAUCAAACUGGACCCAUGAAGCUGCAAUAAUGUUGAAUUGCUUGCCAACAGUUUCGUAGCCACAAACAUUGGAUCUGGCUUCAUUAACUGCAAUAAAAUAUAUACCUAUAUUUAAAAACAAUCCCUAAUGGGUUAUCUAUCACUCAACUCUCCUAUGCAACGCGAAGUCAUAAAAUAUUUUAGGGGCUGAACUUAAAUUGUAAAUUCUAAGAUAGUAAAAAUAUAAUUUUUAAAAGAUUAAAUUAAAAUUUUAUUAUAUUUAAGGGGUUAAAGUGUAAUUUUACCUUUAUUAAUUUAAAAUUUUAAAAAUUAAAAUAAAAUGAAAGUUUCAUUUUAAAAAAGUCAACCCCUAAAUUCGCGCGUGCUAGAGAUAUAUUGCACGUUUUACUUGAACACCCUACAACCUCAUAAUAAAUUUCCACCCGAUCUGGUAUUAGCCCAUGUGCCAUUGAAUUCAUGUUUGACUUGGGGUUUGGGAAAGAAGUUGUAUGUGAAAUUGACAAUAUCUCCCUAAUUCUAAACUUUGGAGAGGGAAGAAAGAUUUCUCGGAAUUAGUAACCUUCAUUCACCGCUCUCAAACAUUGGAUAGAUGCUUUAGCUUUGUUCUUCUAGCUAUGUGCAGCACUUCAGUUAGUUAAUGUAGGUGUUCGUAAAAAUUAAGUAUUCGAUUUAAGUUUUAAAAUAUAUUUGAUAGUUUAUUUAAAAUUAAAAUUUUAAUAUAAUUAGUAGGGACGUCAGUGAGACAGAUUUUGUAGGAUCCCACCCCAUUUUGCACCUAAUUGGGUGGAAAUGGGUACAGGCUUCACGAGUGAUGGGACAAAGAUAGGGAAAAAAAUUAGAUCAACCGUGGGUGAUGGGACAGACAUGGGUAUAACCUUGUACUCACCUCAUCCCCACUCGCCCCGCCCCAUAUAAUAUAAUAACCAUAUUUAAAAAUUUAAUUUUGAUAACAGUAGUUAACUCAUAUUCACUACUCUUUUUUUUUUUUUUUAAAAGAAGAGCAUUUCACAUUUUCUCACCAAUUUUUUUUUAAAGAAAGGAGAGUACUCAACACAGUUUCUCAUAUGCAGGUUUAGGUAAAAUUAAAGAGAUAUAAUGCUCACAAUUGAUAGAAGAAUUAGAAGAUGAAUGUGAUACAGAAGCAACGGGAGUGACAUGUAUUGAUUCAUUUUUGGAAUUUUUACACUUGUGUUGCAUUUGAAGACAUUUAUGAUGUAUUUAAGACAUUGUUUGUAUUUGGAUAUUAUGUAAAGACUUUAUUUUCUGAAUUUUUUAAACUCGUGUUGAAGUUAUAUUUUAUUUACUAAUUAAAGGGUCGCGACGACUUAUUUUUUUUAAAUGGUGACAGUUGGAAUAAUGUCACACAUGUGAUAGGAGUCCGGAGGACAGAUAUUUCAUACUUUUUUCAUAAAAAAAUUAAUUUAUAUUUAUUUCACUAAUACUUAUAAAUAUAUUAUAUGAAGUGGGUUGCAAGACGGGGUAUAACGAGGAUUAGGUGGGUCUAGGGACCCACAUGGGUGAUGGGGCAGGGAUGGUUUUAGUCUCGUGGGUCAUGGGGCGGGGAUGGUUUUGGGUUUUGUAUCCGUAGCGGGGUGCGGAUGGGGAUGAAAGGCCCAAUUGACAUCCUUAAUAAUUAGAUUGUUUGAUAACGAGUAAUAUAAUCUUAAAUGAAAUAGAAUAAAAUAAAAUAAAAAUCAUUGAAUUAUUCUCUAUUAAGCUACCUACUUAUCAUUUUCUACACUUUUUUGUAGAAAAAGAUCUAUCUAGUAGUUUUCAUUGUGAUUUAUCAAACAUAUGUUUAAAAAAUUAAGUUAUUGAAAAUAUUAAUUUUUAGUUGAUUGAAUUUUCUCUAACACUUUAUCAAAUAAACCCUUAGUUUUUCCAAUUGCACAAGUUGAUUGUUCAUCCCUGUCAUCGAAACUAGUAAUUUGGUUAUUUGUUAGUGCAAAAUUAUGGUAUACAAAUUUGAAAGUUAAAAUAUAUUUUAAUCCUACUUUUAUUUUCAAAAAUUUAGACCCUUCACUUUUUGGAUUUAAACAUUUAGGCCCAGUUGUUGCAACUAUUAAAAUUCAUCUGUUAAAUUUAUCGAUGUGGCUUUUUGAAAUUUUUUAAAAAAUUAUUUGGUAGUCAGGUAAUGAUAAAAAUAGCAUUAAUUGAAAAUAUUUAUAUAGAUUUUUUCUUAAAAACAUUCAUUCGAACUCGUUAUGAUAAAAUAAUUUUUUUGUUGGAAUAGUGUUCCUAAAAAAAAUUCACAUCAACAUUUUGAUUGAAAUAGUUAACAGUACUAAAUAUUUAGACUAACUAAAAACAUUGUAAAAGUAGAAUAAUCAAAUUAUGUAAAAGAUAAGCCACAUAGAUUAAAUCCCAAGUUUCAGCAUAAUAUAAAGGGCUAAAAUUGAAGUUUAGUCACUCCCUUAUAAAAUCAAAAAAUAAAAAGCAAGGCAAACCUAAAAGUAAUAAAAAGUUAUAUAUUCAUCUCUAAGACUCUUAGGGCAUCAAAUUAUAGAUAACCACAUGAUGUUUUAAUUGAAAAAUGAAUGAUAUUAACUUUUUAGAUUGAUUAAUAACAUUAUAAAACUAUAGGGACCAAAUUGCAUUAGAAAUUAAGAUGUGACAUUUAAAUUUCAAAUUUAGGUAUAAUAGAGGAAUCAUAACUGAAAUUUAAUCAUUUUUAAAACUGCAAAAAAAGGUUAAACACUUACGUAAACCUAAAAAAAAAUGGGAAGUCACGUAUCAGUCUCUAAGAUUAUUACGGUAUUCAAAUUAUGCAUAACAACAUAAUGUUUUAACCGAAUUAUUUGGAUUAGUUAAGAAUAUUAUAAGAAUAUAGGGACCAAAUGUGUUAAAAAUUAAAGUAUAUAGAUUAAAUCUCAAAUUUAAGCAUAUUAGAGGGAGCAGAGGUGAAAUUUAACCAUUUUCUAAAAUGAAAAAAAGUAAGCAUGUUGAGAGAGACGCGUGUCAGCAUAUCCUUUUAUAUAUAGUCAUGUAGAUAAGAAAUGACGUAUUUUAUUUAAAAAAUAAAAUUUUUAUUAAAUUAAAUUAAAUUAUUCUUAUUCUAUUUUCGUAUUUAUUCAUAUAUACAUAUAAAUCAAAGUUUUAAUAUUUACCAAUAUUUAUUGUUACAUAUGUUUUAUUCUGUUAUUAAUAUUUAAUAUUUAAUAUUUUUAUUAAAAUUAUUAUGAUUUAAGAAGUAUUUAAAAAACAUAUUCCCAUCUGAAGCUGAAGUUGUUUUAAUUUUCGGUCUAUCAGAUAAUAGUUUAUAAUUAACCAGGCCCUCUUCUUUAAUGAAGUUAAAUUCCCCCACUGCUUAGUUAACAAACGGUUCAAUUAAUUGAAUAUCUAAUUCAAUUGAGGAUGUUUAUAUAUGUGUAUAUAUAUAUAUUAAAUGAGUACCAAAUAUAAUAAAUAUUUUAGAGGUGAGCGUUCGGUUGGAUUGAGUCGAAUUGAGUGAAAAAUUUCGAGUUAAUUAAAUUGAUGUGUCUUAUUUUAUUAUCCAAACUCGAUUUAAAAUUUUUUCGAACCGAAUCGAGUAAAAUAAAAUUCGACCCAAUUGGAGUCAAAUAAAUUUGCUCGAGUUAAAUUAAAAAAAUAAAUUGGCCAUGUUGAAAUAUUAUUAAUAGUAUAAAUUAAUUCUGAGUUAAAGAACAUAGAUACCACAUAUAUUUGAAAAUUUCUUUUAAAACAAAAUAAGAGGAGGAAAUAAACAAGAUAACUGAUAUGAGAAACUUGAAUUGAUAAUUUACUUAUUUAAUGUCUCAAAUUUUCAUCUUGGAUUUUUUAGAAAAUAUAAAUUAACAUUUUUAAUAAUUUUUAAUUUUUUGAAUUUAUGUAUAUUUAUAAAUUUUGAAAAAAAAUAUUUUAUAAAUAUUUUAAAAUUUGUAAAAUUAUUAUGAUUCUUUAAUUUCUUUUAAAAGUGAUCAAUUUGUAAUAACACGACAGGUAUUUACAUGACUGUGUUAGUUAAAAUCAAGUAUUUGUUAAAAUAAGUGCUUCUCCCAUAAUAAAUGGCUAAUUGAGCUAAUCCGAUGGAAGCAGUCUGAUUUUUGUUCAUUUGUCAGCUUAAAAGUAAUAUUGUAUACCUUCUCUGUUUGAUGAACAGGCAUAGUGUUCCUGCCAAAGAAAGAUCCUUGGCUGCCAGCUCCAUCAUUGAAAGGAUCAUUGUAACUUCCAUCACCUGUUCUGUACGGAUAAUCCCCUGGACUAAACCGAACACCGGAUGGAGUUUUUCCUACAUUGCUGGUGAAGAUGCCAAUGUACAACCAGAUAUAUUAAACCUAAGAUAACAGGUAACCGGUGCCAUAUCCCCUAUUUAUCCACCAAAAGAACCAUCUGAUUAACCAAAAAUAAUUUUUAAGCUUAA
This 6416-nucleotide long non-coding RNA is filed under the name Gossypium barbadense (sea-island cotton). RNAcentral describes it as "long non-coding RNA (GBAR_LNC015351)". Lineage: Eukaryota; Viridiplantae; Streptophyta; Magnoliopsida; Malvales; Malvaceae. The record is from RNAcentral.